GAUGAACGCUGGCGGCGUGCCUAAUACAUGCAAGUCGAGCGAACAGACGAGGAGCUUGCUCCUCUGACGUUAGCGGCGGACGGGUGAGUAACACGUGGAUAACCUACCUAUAAGACUGGGAUAACUUCGGGAAACCGGAGCUAAUACCGGAUAAUAUAUUGAACCGCAUGGUUCAAUAGUGAAAGACGGUUUUGCUGUCACUUAUAGCUGGAUCCGCGCCGCAUUAGCUAGUUGGUAAGGUAACGGCUUACCAAGGCGACGAUGCGUAGCCGACCUGAGAGGGUGAUCGGCCACACUGGAACUGAGACACGGUCCAGACUCCUACGGGAGGCAGCAGUAGGGAAUAUUCCGCAAUGGGCGAAAGCCUGACGGAGCAACGCCGCGUGAGUGAUGAAGGUCUUCGGAUCGUAAAACUCUGUUAUUAGGGAAGAAAAAAUGUGUAAGUAACUAUGCACGUCUUGACGGUACCUAAUCAGAAAGCCACGGCUAACUACGUG
RNAcentral lists this ribosomal RNA (497 nucleotides) under uncultured bacterium. Its description in RNAcentral is "partial 16S ribosomal RNA". It matches the Rfam family "Bacterial small subunit ribosomal RNA", at positions 28 to 507 of the family's 1533-position model. The record is from RNAcentral.